Erythranthe guttata (spotted monkey flower) is the source of this 550-nucleotide non-coding RNA. The record is from RefSeq and is a predicted model, not a curated record. Lineage: Eukaryota; Viridiplantae; Streptophyta; Magnoliopsida; Lamiales; Phrymaceae.
UUAAAUAUAAAGGCAGGAAAGUUCUAAGCUAAGAAUUUUUCUUUCACGCGAAAUUGAAGUUUUCUUUCUUUUGAAAAUUAUAACUAUUGAAUUCCGAGCACAAAUAUCCAUCAAAAAAUAUCUAUAUAAGUCCUUUGAGAUAUUUUACCUUAUUCUAUAAAUAUCUGCAAAAACGCAAAGUCCGUCUAAUCCCUUUAAUAUUGAUCCAAUUAGGGAAGAUGAAACGGUUCAGCGAGGUCAUUAUUGUCAUACUCAUAUUGCUUGGUUUUACCCUAAUUGAAGGAAGAACAAUAUUUCCAGAUUCUAGGUCAAAUGAACUACUGGCUACAAUUCUCAAACUAAAGCCGCCAAGUCCUCCGCCACCGCCGCCUCGACCGCCGAUCCCAAUUCGUCCAUGAAAAUAGCGAAGCUCCACUUCUAGAGUUUCUUUCAUUUUUCAAAUUAAAAUUCUGAAAUAGAAAAGUAUUUUAAAGAAUAAAUUUUGUAAUCAUUGCAUGCCGCAAAUGUUUUUCAUCUAGUCUAGGAAUGGAAAGUGGACGGAUUUUUCGAA